GACGAACGCUGGCGGCGUGCUUAACACAUGCAAGUCGAACGGAAAGGCCCUGCUUUUGUGGGGUGCUCGAGUGGGGAACGGGUGAGUAACACGUGAGUAACCUGCCCUUGACUUUGGGAUAACUUCAGGAAACUGGGGCUAAUACCGGAUAGGAGCUCCUGCUGCAUGGUGGGGGUUGGAAAGUUUCGGCGGUUGGGGAUGGACUCGCGGCUUAUCAGCUUGUUGGUGGGGCAGUGGCUUACCAAGGCUUUGACGGGUAGCCGGCCUGAGAGGGUGACCGGCCACAUUGGGACUGAGAUACGGCCCAGACUCCUACGGGAGGCAGCAGUGGGGAAUAUUGCACAAUGGGCGGAAGCCUGAUGCAGCAACGCCGCGUGCGGGAUGACGGCCUUCGGGUUGUAAACCGCUUUCGCCUGUGACGAAGCGUGAGUGACGGUAAUGGGUAAAGAAGCACCGGCUAACUACGUG
Molecule: ribosomal RNA, 468 nt
Filed under: uncultured bacterium
Lineage: Bacteria
Description: partial 16S ribosomal RNA
Rfam family: Bacterial small subunit ribosomal RNA
Source: RNAcentral